RNAcentral lists this ribosomal RNA (429 nucleotides) under Acidobacteriota bacterium. RNAcentral's name for it is "Acidobacteria bacterium partial 16S ribosomal RNA". It matches the Rfam family "Bacterial small subunit ribosomal RNA", at positions 355 to 776 of the family's 1533-position model. Lineage: Bacteria; Pseudomonadati; Acidobacteriota. The record is from RNAcentral.
UGGGGAAUUUUGGACAAUGGGGGAAACCCUGAUCCAGCCAUCCCGCGUGUGCGAUGAAGGCCUUCGGGUUGUAAAGCACUUUUGGCAGGAAAGAAACGUCAUGGGUUAAUACCCCGUGAAACUGACGGUACCUGCAGAAUAAGCACCGGCUAACUACGUGCCAGCAGCCGCGGUAAUACGUAGGGUGCAAGCGUUAAUCGGAAUUACUGGGCGUAAAGCGUGCGCAGGCGGUUCGGAAAGAAAGAUGUGAAAUCCCAGAGCUCAACUUUGGAACUGCAUUUUUAACUACCGGGCUAGAGUGUGUCAGAGGGAGGUGGAAUUCCGCGUGUAGCAGUGAAAUGCGUAGAUAUGCGGAGGAACACCGAUGGCGAAGGCAGCCUCCUGGGAUAACACUGACGCUCAUGCACGAAAGCGUGGGGAGCAAACAGA